Non-coding RNA from Brassica napus (rape), 116 nucleotides. The record is from Rfam. NCBI's taxonomy places the organism in Eukaryota, Viridiplantae, Streptophyta, Magnoliopsida, Brassicales, Brassicaceae.
AGCCGUGCAGUGGGGGCAAAGCGAACUAUUCUUUCGCCUUUUACUAAAGAAUACCGUGUUCUCUCUCCAUUUAGCGGCAUACGCCUAUUUUUGGAAAAGGGUUUAGAAAUAAACCU